UCCUGGUGGCUUAGAUGGUAAAGAAUCUGCCUGCAAUGCAGGAGACCUGGGUUCGACCCCUGGGUCAGGAA
This 71-nucleotide transfer RNA is filed under the name Bos taurus (domestic cattle). It matches the Rfam family "tRNA". From Rfam's summary of the family: Transfer RNA (tRNA) molecules are approximately 80 nucleotides in length. RNAcentral also lists the same sequence under 2 other names. Lineage: Eukaryota; Metazoa; Chordata; Mammalia; Artiodactyla; Bovidae. The record is from Rfam by way of RNAcentral.